RNAcentral lists this ribosomal RNA (497 nucleotides) under uncultured bacterium. Its description in RNAcentral is "partial 16S ribosomal RNA". It matches the Rfam family "Bacterial small subunit ribosomal RNA", at positions 28 to 507 of the family's 1533-position model. The record is from RNAcentral.
GAUGAACGCUGGCGGCGUGCCUAAUACAUGCCAGUCGAGCGAACAGACGAGGAGCUUGCUCCUCUGACGUUAGCGGCGGACGGGUGAGUAACACGUGGAUAACCUACCUAUAAGACUGGGAUAACUUCGGGAAACCGGAGCUAAUACCGGAUAAUAUAUUGAACCGCAUGGUUCAAUAGUGAAAGACGGUUUUGCUGUCACUUAUAGAUGGAUCCGCGCCGCAUUAGCUAGUUGGUAAGGUAACGGCUUACCAAGGCGACGAUGCGUAGCCGACCUGAGAGGGUGAUCGGCCACACUGGAACUGAGACACGGUCCAGACUCCUAAGGGAGGCAGCAGUAGGGAAUCUUCCGCAAUGGGCGAAAGCCUGACGGAGCAACGCCGCGUGAGUGAUGAAGGUCUUCGGAUCGUAAAACUCUGUUAUUAGGGAAGAACAAAUGUGUAAGUAACUAUGCACGUCUUGACGGUACCUAAUCAGAAAGCCACGGCUAACUACGUG